UACGUAGGGGGCAAGCGUUGUUCGGAUUUACUGGGCGUAAAGGGCGCGUAGGCGGCCACAACAAGUCACUUGUGAAAUCUCCGGGCUUAACCCGGUAGCGGCCAAGUGAUACUGUUGGGCUAGAGUGCGGAAGGGGCAACUGGAAUUCUCGGUGUAGCGGUGAAAUGCGUAGAUAUCGAGAGGAACACCUGCGGCGAAGGCGGGUUGCUGGGCCGACACUGACGCUGAGGCGCGAAAGCUAGGGGAGCGAACGGG
RNAcentral lists this ribosomal RNA (255 nucleotides) under uncultured bacterium. Its description in RNAcentral is "partial 16S ribosomal RNA". It matches the Rfam family "Bacterial small subunit ribosomal RNA", at positions 524 to 776 of the family's 1533-position model. The record is from RNAcentral.